GUAAUUUCUAUGUAACUAUUGUAAGCAUGCAGUGGGUGACAUCAUAGAUGGCAGGUAUGUGUCACUGAGGCUGCUACGCUCAGUGAUGUAAAUCCCGGAGGUAAGUAGUGACCAGUGGUGGUAGAUCACUGAGUUGGUGGUAGCUGGAAUU
Molecule: long non-coding RNA, 151 nt
Organism: Bufo bufo (common toad)
Lineage: Eukaryota; Metazoa; Chordata; Amphibia; Anura; Bufonidae
Exons: 3
Source: RefSeq, a predicted model, not a curated record